GCUCGCGUAGCUCAGCUGGAUGAGCAUUGGUCUUCUAAACCAAGGGACGCAGGUUCGACUCCUGCCGCGAGUG
This 73-nucleotide transfer RNA is filed under the name Nannocystis pusilla. It matches the Rfam family "tRNA". Rfam says of the family: Transfer RNA (tRNA) molecules are approximately 80 nucleotides in length. Their secondary structure includes four short double-helical elements and three loops (D, anti-codon, and T loops). Further hydrogen bonds mediate the characteristic L-shaped molecular structure. tRNAs have two regions of fundamental functional importance: the anti-codon, which is responsible for specific mRNA codon recognition, and the 3' end, to which the tRNAs corresponding amino acid is attached (by aminoacyl-tRNA synthetases). tRNAs cope with the degeneracy of the genetic code in two manners: having more than one tRNA (with a specific anti-codon) for a particular amino acid; and 'wobble' base-pairing, i.e. permitting non-standard base-pairing at the 3rd anti-codon position. The record is from Rfam by way of RNAcentral. Lineage: Bacteria; Pseudomonadati; Myxococcota; Nannocystales; Nannocystaceae.